AUGGCUCAGUGGUUAAGAGCACUGGAUGCUUUUCCAGAGGUCCUGAGUUCAAUUCCCAGU
This is a non-coding RNA of Mus musculus (house mouse), 60 nucleotides long. NCBI's taxonomy places the organism in Eukaryota, Metazoa, Chordata, Mammalia, Rodentia, Muridae. The record is from Rfam.